RNAcentral lists this long non-coding RNA (498 nucleotides) under Heterocephalus glaber (naked mole-rat). RNAcentral's name for it is "lncRNA (ENSHGLG00100034117.1)". Lineage: Eukaryota; Metazoa; Chordata; Mammalia; Rodentia; Bathyergidae. The record is from RNAcentral.
CUGGGAUUCCUGGCAUAGAAGAAGGACUGUGGUUGCUUGUGGCAGAUCCUCCUUCACCCUUCCAGGGCUCUCGGCCCUUCCACAGCUGCACCCAGAAGCCUGAACUGGCAAAUGGACUCAGGGCUUGGUCAUCUCAACUGCUGCAGUGACAGUCGCCUCUGGCAAGAUGCUGAUUUGGGCCAAUGUCGCAGGCCCAGAGUCUCUGCCUCCUGCCAGCUCUUCUGGGCAUGAAUGAACAUCACACCACAGAGUGUGGGCUCUGGCAUCCCCCGGGCAAGGGCCAUUUCAUACAACUUGGAGAUUGGCCAGGGAGGCUGGAGAUAGGGGGCAGAAGAAUGAAUACACUGUGCUCCAGGAUAGCACCUUUGCCAGUCAGUUUUUAUAUAAGGAUCAGGUGAGAAUAAUAAAGGUCAGAGAAACAUACGUGAGUGUGCACAGCUGUGAGCAGGGACCAGAUUUCUAACCUACGUCUACUAGCAUCAAAGCCCUGGCUUCCCC